Molecule: ribosomal RNA, 550 nt
Filed under: uncultured bacterium
Lineage: Bacteria
Description: bacterial SSU rRNA
Rfam family: Bacterial small subunit ribosomal RNA
Source: RNAcentral
UAGGGAAUCUUCGGCAAUGGGGGCAACCCUGACCGAGCAACGCCGCGUGAGUGAAGAAGGUUUUCGGAUCGUAAAGCUCUGUUGUAAGUCAAGAACGAGUGUGAGAGUGGAAAGUUCACACUGUGACGGUAGCUUACCAGAAAGGGACGGCUAACUACGUGCCAGCAGCCGCGGUAAUACGUAGGUCCCGAGCGUUGUCCGGAUUUAUUGGGCGUAAAGCGAGCGCAGGCGGUUUGAUAAGUCUGAAGUUAAAGGCUGUGGCUCAACCAUAGUUCGCUUUGGAAACUGUCAAACUUGAGUGCAGAAGGGGAGAGUGGAAUUCCAUGUGUAGCGGUGAAAUGCGUAGACAUAUGGAGGAACACCGGUGGCGAAAGCGGCUCUCUGGUCUGUAACUGACGCUGAGGCUCGAAAGCGUGGGGAGCGAACAGGAUUAGAUACCCUGGUAGUCCACGCCGUAAACGAUGAGUGCUAGGUGUUGGAUCCUUUCCGGGAUUCAGUGCCGCAGCUAACGCAUUAAGCACUCCGCCUGGGGAGUACGACCGCAAGGUUG